Molecule: long non-coding RNA, 1599 nt
Organism: Papaver somniferum (opium poppy)
Lineage: Eukaryota; Viridiplantae; Streptophyta; Magnoliopsida; Ranunculales; Papaveraceae
Exons: 5
Source: RefSeq, a predicted model, not a curated record
CCUCCGCACUCAAAAAUCCCCAAUUCCACUUCUGAUAAACCCUACAUUUGCUACUAUUCCUCCUCUGUAAAUCUUUGUUUCUUUCUUUCUUGAACUACAAGAGGAGGGAUUAGACGGAGUAUUUCAACAAUAUCCCGUUGGAUAUUUAGAUUAGAGAUAUUAAGUCGCUGAAAAUCUGUUCUCGAAUGCAAAACUUGGAGAAGUAUUUUAAUGGUGCUGAUUCUGGUGGGAUGUUGAACUUCGCCAUUUUCAAGCCGAGUUCGGUAUCUUUUUUCAACAUUGAGAAACCAGAAACAGCUGUUUCAUGAUGGGAAUGACGGGCAACGACAAGAGCUGCCAAGUCAUAAGGCGACAUUUAGAAUUCAAAUGGGAGGGAGACAUGAAGGAAGCAAAAUGCUCUUCUUCAUCUCACCAGCUCUAAAUUUCCAAGUGUUCAGAUCCUUCUCGGUAAGGAGUUAUACUGAUCGUCUUGUAGCUGCGAGUUCAAAAUGCGACGCAGAGUAAGAUGGCACACAUAGCUGAAUUUAGUUAGUAUUUAUAUGUUUAAUCCCUGCUGUCUCCAUAGGCCUAUGUGAGCUGUCUCCGUAGGCCUAUGUGAUUAGACACAUACAUACUAACUCAAUUCUGUUAUACAACUUGAUAAGUAUUUUCCUGUCCGCAAACUGCACAACCAACUAAGGCAUCUAACCAUUAUUAAAAACUACACAACUGAAUUUCGGUUUGUUUGAGAUGCGAAGCUGUUGCUAAUUGUGGCAGUAGACUUUUAGAAAUGGGGUUCUCAUGUCUCUUUGCAGUUGAACUCUGGGCACGUCAUCAAGGAAAUAUUCUGUUGUACCUUUGACGCGAUGUUCUCUUGUACCUUUGAGCGAUGUGUUUGGUGGUGCACUUGGAGCAGUAAAUGUGUGAACAUUUGUUAGUACUGUUUCUCAUCUCAUUUCCUGGUUUGGCUUCCAUGCAAUCUUGCAUACACAUACACUGCCUUCUGACAUUACAAAUUUGAUACAGGGAAGUCACAAGUUUGUACUACGGAGGAGCUGUAGGGGCUGUGCUGAUCUUUGACAUAACUAAACGUCAAAGGAAUUAUGAGGACAUGCAGACAAGAACAUUAAGUGUGAUCUUGAAAGCCUGUGUGCUGUCCCCACCAAGGAUGGCUAGGAAUUCGCUCAAAGGAAGGACUUUUCUUCUUAGAGGCGUCAGCUCUUGAAGGAUCUAACGUUGAGACUGCCUUCUCAACUAUUUUGACUGAGAUCUUCAACAUUGUUAACAAGAAAACGCUCGUUUCUGAUGAAGAUCAAAGUAAUGGAAGCCAAGCAUCCUUAACUGGAAAAAACAUCAUUGUCCCUGGCCCUGCACAUGUAAUUCCGACCAAGAGCAGUAUGUGUUGUUCUUCUUGAUCUUAAUCUGAUCAAAUUUUUGGUUUCAGGUCCAUAAUAUUUGGUAUUAGGAUUAAACUGGUUGUUAUUUGUGUCUCGCUUUUACUUAUUCUUGUAUAUCUUGAUUGUAUAUGCUAAAGUUUCAGAGGGACAGAUUGUAUUCUUUGUCACCAACUUGGCACGAUCCUCCAUGUGUCAUAAUAGCUAUACCCAAGAGUUGAUUUCA